This 4766-nucleotide long non-coding RNA is filed under the name Homo sapiens (human). RNAcentral's name for it is "HSALNT0021015". The record is from RNAcentral. Lineage: Eukaryota; Metazoa; Chordata; Mammalia; Primates; Hominidae.
CACAGUGCUAGGCAUGGAGGGGAAGCUGCAAAGUUAGAUGAGCUUAUAAGCAGAAUUUAGUCAGAGAGACCCAUACCUAACUCUAAUGCUAACCACGUGUUAAAACACUUUGGAGAAUUUCAGGUCUUUUAUCUUUUUCUUCAAAAACUGAAGAUGUGGCAGUUAGUUUUGGGGCUGGAAAUUUGAGCAGAGAGAAUGGCAGAGUCUUUUCAGGAGCCAGAAAUGCAUGUGAGGACCAAGAACUUCUAACAGUAGAGGAACUCUGGCUGGGGUAGUUGAGGGGGAGGAGAAAUGAGGAUCAAGGGGGCAUACAGUGCAUGAAAACAAAAGGUGAGGCCCAAGAUCAGCCAAAGUGAGUAAACCACGGUUACCAUGGCUACUCUUCAGUGGAGACGGAAGGAAGCCCUGUAUCCUCCCCUUCCAACCACACUACGCUGUUCCACUCCCCAUCUCCAUCUCCUGUACCCCAGACACACUCAGGCAAGCACAGCACCACCCUGGAUGACUCUGCGGAAUGCCUCUCAGAGACACGGAACUAGAAACCUAGGGGAAGAGGGACAUCAAGGCUUUUGCCUCACAAGCUGACUCUGGAACAAAGAGCCAGGCUGAGGGGCUGGAAGAAGAAACUUCCAGCAGAGCCACCCAGAUAUGCUUCCCCCACCCUCUAGACCUUCCACACCAACCAGUGUCCAGUCAGUCCACAGAGCAUCCUCCUGGGCUGUGGUGACUGAAGUUGAAGGGAAGAAAAUAUAAUAAUAAUUUUGGGCAGGUCGUCUUUCUUUACUGUAUUGGAUGGAUAUAGAAUCAAUAAAUCUAUAGGUUUAUCCCAUUUUUCUGAACAAAUUUAGAGGUCAAAGAUGAACCCUCAAGGGGACAGAAUAUGACCAGCAGGACUAUUGAUAUCGUCUGCCCUAGGCACUCCUCCUUACCCUCCUCUCCCCUAUAUUUUGGGGGCAGUCAUAUUCCUCAGCAGUCAGUUGCUCUGCCUCCAGUCCUAACUGGCUUCUGAAAAACAGUUCUGGUCCAUUCAUUCCCUGUCUCGAGACUUCCGGAGCUUCCUGACCUGUGAAUGAAAUCCACAGGCCCAUCACAAGAUGGCUGCGCUCUCCAGUCCCCGGCACCCCAGGCUGCUCUGAACAUGUGAGAGCUCCUCCCUCAAGGCCUGAAUUUUCGCAGGUCUUCAUCACACUCAGCCCGCCAUCAUUUUUUCAGAUUCAGUUCCAAUAUGUCACUCUGUCUGUAGAGCCUUCCCUGAAUCUCACAGACAAAUGCGGCAGUUCCCUUUGUGGGGGAUAUUCAUCAUGUUUUUCCUCAUUGGCCUAUGUUUUUGCCUCUUCUUGUAGAUGUCCAUCUAGGCUGGGAGCUCCUAGGGGGUAAACGCAGCCUCUCACUCACCUGGCACAGAGUCGAUGCUCAUGGAAUGAUACGUGAUGGGGAGAGUGAGUAAGUGAAUGAAUGAAUGAAUGCUAUUCUGGAAGGAAGAGGGAGAGAGGGAGCAGGGAAAGGUCAGAAGGGGGCCCAGAGUCUUCAGCACACAAUGUGGGUGUAUCACUGUGGCCAGGAACAAUUCGCUUCUCUGCCUGCAUUACUUUUUGGGAAAUGGGAGAGCUGAGGCUCAGUGUAGGCAAACUGGGUCCAGUCAGCAGGGAAGCCAUGAGCUCCACGGUUUAGGGGAGGAGUCCGGUGCUUAAGGAAGCUAUCACGUGGAAGAUCUCCCUGCCCUCCUCCUAUUGGUCUGUAUUGGUUUUUCUUCUUCACCAGUGGAGGCUUUUCUUCUCCCAGGAAGAAUCCAGAAUAGUUCAGACAAGCUUCAGGUCCGCCAGAACCGGGGAAAACAACGUGUAGGGUUUGUUUUAAAGGGCUUUUAAAUGGGGUUUGGGAGAUCCAGGUAGAUUAGAAUCUUGACUCUGCACUGGCUGUGCAAGACAGAAAUUCACCUUUCAAAACUUCUGUUCCCCAGUCUAUGCGGUAAGAAGUUUAGAUUAGCUGAUUUCUAGGGAGAUUUUGGGCAGGCAUGAUUCAGUUCCAUGAAGGGCUGUGGGACAGGACUGCACUAAGAGGUCCUAUAGAUUGGAUUCUUCAGUUCCCUCCCUUCCGCUGGAGAAUAGAGGAAUCUGCCUUCGCUGCACACUAGAUUUACCUGGAGAACAAAUGGAAAGCAGGCCAGGAUCCUGGGUGAAAUGUGGCACAUUUGAGGAGACUUCAACUUCCCUUGCCCUCCAGUGUGGUCUUUUCCCCACCCCCAGACAUGAAAGGGAAGCAGGUCACAAAGCCUUUCGGAUUAUAAAAGAAACACUUGCUUCUCACAAGGGGAGCAGCAGACUUACUCUGUACUAAAUGCCAGGAUAAGCCUCUGGCUGGGCCUCGACUGUGACCCUCCGGCCUCUUUCUACAGCUCUGCCUGGAUGGACUGGCCUAUCUCUGCUGGAUUCCCGAAGUGCAUUGUGUAGAGACAGCAACUCAGGUCAGGCUAAAAGCUCAAGCAAGCAAGCGCGCACACACACGCGCGCACACACACACACACACACACAAACACUCAGCUUCCUUAGGACAAGAUAAAAUCUUAGCAUUCCCCUCUCCCCGAUUAGGUAGGUCUCUGGGAGGACUAAGGCUUCAGGUGCAAGGCUCAGAUAACCUGCAGUGUCUCUCCAACUCUGGGAUGACAAAGACCUCACUUCCCUUUUCUGGUGUUCACACAACAAUGAGAAAGUACGGGUAGCCUGCAGAAAGACCUCUCCAUUCAUGGUCCCCCAGGGGUGUGGGUUCUGAGAGGUGGGACCAGCUGCCAGGCCCUUUCUCCAUUGGUUGAGUUCAGCAGGUAACCUGAAGCUUUGCUGAGAGGUGCAUAAAUAAAGAGUGAAACUAGUACCACCUCCUUGAAAUGGGCUGAGUCCCUCUUGCUCACCCUUGACUUGGAAAAACCAGUUUCUCUUUUAUUGUCUGUUACUAAUCUCUAUUCUAAAAAUUCAGCUCAAUUCUCAACCAUACUCCAAACUCUCUCUUUUCCAGCUACCUUUACUCCCUCUCCUUCAAUUCCACUUUCCUCUGCUUACUUUUUUUUUUUUUCUGACAGGGUCUCACUUUGUCGCCCGGGCAGGAGUGCAGUGGCUCAAUCUUGGGCUCACUGCAGCCUCAACCUCCCAGAGGCGGGGUUUCACCAUGUUGCCCAGACUGGUCUUGAACUCCUGAGCUUAAGCAAUCCACCUGCCUCGGCCUCCCAAAGUGUUGGGAUCACAGGCGUGAGCCACCGCAUCCGGCCUCAUGUUCUUUUUCAUUAAAGAGAGAAAUCAACUAUUCAGGACCGGCCCCCACCUUUCCUCAGGAGUCAUUUCUGUUCCGCACAGGCCUGCUGAACUGGGUGCUUUAUAUAGGACACUGUCAUCUCUCAAGUACCCAUCUUGGAGGGUACGGACCCCACAUGAGGGUGAGGCUCUCUGCACACUCCAGAAAAGGACCAACCACACCGAGCUCAGUUAUGGCACACACAGUGGGACCUAGACAAAGGGAGAGGGUGACCGACAUCCCAACUAGAUUUCAGUGGAGUGAAGUUCAGGAGGCAUGGAGCUGACAACCAUGAGGCCUCGGCAGCCACCGCCACCACCGCCGCCGCCACCACCGUAGCAGCAGCAGCAGCAGCAGCAGCAGCAGCAGCAGCAGCAAGAGUAACUCUGACUUAGGAAUAGAGACAGCCAGAGAGAAAUGUGAUCAAUGAAGGAGACAUCUGGAGUGUGCGUGCUUCUUCAGAGGGACGGGUGAUGGGCAGAUUGGAAAAAGCACCGCAGAUGGGAACCUUAAUCUUUCUUUUCUAAAAUUGAUGCUAUGAAAAUUUGCGUUUUCUGUAACUUGUAAAAACUAAAAGUUGCUUGUCUACUGAAAAGCCUCUCUGCCUCUAUGUUUUAUACCAUCGGAUGCCAACUCCCGGCCUUCUAAGCCACCUCCCCUUUAGGCUAAAACUGAGACAUGAACUUGAAAAAUUGACACUGGCUUCCUCUCUCUUUAGGGUCCCCAGGCAGGUGGCUGGGACACUAUUUGCAAUCAGCAAGGAACCCUGCUGCCCUUAGACUCCCCACAGAGCAAGCAGAACUUGCAGAAUGGGGUAAAAACACUCUAUUAAAGAUUUUUUAAACCUAUUUAUAUUGUAAUAAAGUAAAUGUAAAUAAAAUUUAAGUGAAGGCAGAUUGCAGAUAUUUCCGAUGCUAUACAAGAUAUAUCUCAUAGUAUGGGUGUAGAUUCUGCAAAGGUUAAUGCAGUUAAACAUAUUUGACACAUAAAAAUGUCAGAUCCAACAUUAAUCAUUCACCAAUUGUAAUUGCCUUUCUAUGGGUCUCUUCUCCCCAAGACAUAGCUUAAAACACCAGGCUCGGUAGAAAUCUGGGAGGAAAAAAGCAAAUAAUACCUCUCAGCUGUCAGGGUCUAUGAUACGCUUUGAUAGAUUUAGCACUGAUUUCAUUCUCUUUACAAUUCAGUGUGAUUGGGUGUGCGUGUGUGUGUGUGUGUGUGUGUGUGUGUGUGUGUGUGUUACUCCAUGUUUCUCCUUUUUAAGGAAGGAGAAGGUGUGGAACAAGAGAAAGUUCCUAAGUCUGAAGGAAGUCCAACCCAGUUAUGAAGGGAAUGCCAUCCACAAGCCUUUUUUAUAAUUGGCCCCUGCCUCAGGUAAAGGGGUCUCCUUUAAGGAGCCAGUCUGGCUAAAUUGGCAGAUUCUGAACAAAGCCUGGCCCUGACAAGUCUUCAGAAAAACCGGUUUUCACCUCCAGAAUGUGCCCCAG